RNAcentral lists this ribosomal RNA (721 nucleotides) under uncultured Pseudomonadota bacterium. RNAcentral describes it as "bacterial SSU rRNA". It matches the Rfam family "Bacterial small subunit ribosomal RNA", at positions 61 to 776 of the family's 1533-position model. The record is from RNAcentral. Lineage: Bacteria; Pseudomonadati; Pseudomonadota.
GUCGAGCGGGGAAAGGUAGCUUGCUACCUGACCUAGCGGCGGACGGGUGAGUAAUGCUUAGGAAUCUGCCUAUUAGUGGGGGACAACAUCUCGAAAGGGAUGCUAAUACCGCAUACGUCCUACGGGAGAAAGCAGGGGACCUUCGGGCCUUGCGCUAAUAGAUGAGCCUAAGUCGGAUUAGCUAGUUGGUGGGGUAAAGGCCUACCAAGGCGACGAUCUGUAGCGGGUCUGAGAGGAUGAUCCGCCACACUGGGACUGAGACACGGCCCAGACUCCUACGGGAGGCAGCAGUGGGGAAUAUUGGACAAUGGGGGGAACCCUGAUCCAGCCAUGCCGCGUGUGUGAAGAAGGCCUUUUGGUUGUAAAGCACUUUAAGCGAGGAGGAGGCUACCGAGAUUAAUACUCUUGGAUAGUGGACGUUACUCGCAGAAUAAGCACCGGCUAACUCUGUGCCAGCAGCCGCGGUAAUACAGAGGGUGCAAGCGUUAAUCGGAUUUACUGGGCGUAAAGCGCGCGUAGGUGGCCAAUUAAGUCAAAUGUGAAAUCCCCGAGCUUAACUUGGGAAUUGCAUUCGAUACUGGUUGGCUAGAGUAUGGGAGAGGAUGGUAGAAUUCCAGGUGUAGCGGUGAAAUGCGUAGAGAUCUGGAGGAAUACCGAUGGCGAAGGCAGCCAUCUGGCCUAAUACUGACACUGAGGUGCGAAAGCAUGGGGAGCAAACAGG